GCCAAAGCCAGCUAGACCAGGCACAUGGGGACCUCCCCUUUCCAGGCUGGGUUCCCUUCCCUUGAGCAGGGUGGAGGGAGGGAGGUUCCAGUCAGAAGCCCCAGCGCUGACCCAGAUCCAGGCUGGAGCAGGCAGGGGAGUCUGAGUGCUGCGCAGGGACGCUUUACGACCCUGCGCCCGACUCUGGGGCUGCCUGACCUCCCCGCACCCGGCCCACACCCCAAGAUUUGUUGGUCUCGCCCCCCAUCGCUUUUCUUUCUUCCUCUUUUCCUCAGUUCACGCCCACCUUAGAGCAAACCUGAGCAGGAGUCCCACUGCUUCAGUUCCCGGAGUUAGAGCCCAGAAGGAAUCUUAGAGUCCCCGCACCGAGCAGACGCGUGCCGCAGCCAAGCAGGAUCCCCGGACCCAAGAGGACACGCGGAGCCCCCCGCGAGCUCUGGGAGUCGCAGCUCCACCGCAGACCUCCAGGGGCUCAGACCGCGGAGCUUUAGGCCUGUGGGAAGGGGAUUGCCAUCCCUCUGACUCCAGUGGCAUCUCUCCAAUCCCCUUGGAGCUGGGAGGAGCCAGGAGGCCCAUGCACACCUGCUUGCAGCUCCUCACAGCAUCCCUGGCCCCCAGCCUGGACCACAUUAAAGUCUUGGAAGUGGAGGUGAACGUCCUUACCCCUUAGAGGGCCAAGAAGAGGGGCGGAAAUGCAAACCUACACUGUAUUUGUCUAGGUUUUAAAAACAUCUCAGCUUUUUGUUUAGAUUUUGUUGUAUCUGUAAAAAUAAAGUAUGCCUAUUAAUAUAAUAGCAAGAAAAACAACUGAAGUCUGUGUGAGACAGAGCUGAAUGAUCCCCACCUAUCACUCUGCAUUGCUGCCUCCCACAGUAACCAACUUUGAUGAGUAGAUCUACCUGUGUCUUACUGUCAGCCAAGUUAAUUUGGCUUAGAUUACUGAAAUUUUAAAAUUUCACUUUGUGGAUUGAGGUACACAAGCUGUAUUAUGCAAGCUAGAUUUGUUCAUGAGACUCUCAUAUUUAGAAUUUAAUUUGAACACAGUUUGUUUUUAAUGUUCUUAUUGAUUUAAAAAUUUAAUUUAUCUUUACGCCUUCCUUAUUCAUAGAGAACUGACUACACAAGCUAUGUUUCUACAAUCUUUGAUUUUCAACAGUUUCUGAAAGCCAGGUCAAACCUUAAUGCCUAAGACCUGUCUUUAUUGUGUGAACCAAAGAAAUGUAGAAGGCUCAUGGAUCUCAGAUCUCCAGUGUAUCAGAAAGACAGAAAGUGAUAUAUCCAGAAAGUGAGCAGAGAAAUAUAUGCAAUCAUAGAAUGCAAUUUUUGUCACAUGAAACUUCAUCUAAUCAUUCUCAUUUUCUGUACUAUUAUUUUAUAUCCUCAUUUCUGCUGCUUGGGGCACUUUAUAUUUUUUAAACCUCAUAUGCAUUGCAAUGUAAGUGUUUUCCUGACUGAGAUCAGCCUUUAGCACUUUCUCACCUUUGAAGAUUUGUCAACACUGGACAGCUCCCCUGGUG
RNAcentral lists this long non-coding RNA (1517 nucleotides) under Heterocephalus glaber (naked mole-rat). RNAcentral's name for it is "lncRNA (ENSHGLG00000045811.1)". Lineage: Eukaryota; Metazoa; Chordata; Mammalia; Rodentia; Bathyergidae. The record is from RNAcentral.